This 578-nucleotide ribosomal RNA is filed under the name Lophocheirus sp. large species MB-2015. RNAcentral's name for it is "SSU rRNA". It matches the Rfam family "Eukaryotic small subunit ribosomal RNA", at positions 23 to 577 of the family's 1831-position model. The record is from RNAcentral. Lineage: Eukaryota; Metazoa; Arthropoda; Insecta; Coleoptera; Curculionidae.
GUCAUAUGCUUGUCUCAAAGAUUAAGCCAUGCAUGUCUCAGUACAAGCCACAUUAAGGUGAAACCGCGAAAGGCUCAUUAAAUCAGUUAUGGUUCCUUAGAUCGUACCCACAAUUACUUGGAUAACUGUGGUAAUUCUAGAGCUAAUACAUGCAAACAGAGCUCCGACCGGAGACGGAAGGAGUGCUUUUAUUAGAUCAAAACCAAUCGGUGGCGGGUUCGCGCUCGUCAUCGUACAACUUGGUGACUCUGAAUAACUUUACGCUGAUCGCACGGUCAUAGCACCGGCGACGCAUCUUUCAAAUGUCUGCCUUAUCAACUGUCGAUGGUAGGUUCUGCGCCUACCAUGGUUGUAACGGGUAACGGGGAAUCAGGGUUCGAUUCCGGAGAGGGAGCCUGAGAAACGGCUACCACAUCCAAGGAAGGCAGCAGGCGCGCAAAUUACCCACUCCCGGCACGGGGAGGUAGUGACGAAAAAUAACGAUACGGGACUCAUCCGAGGCCCCGUAAUCGGAAUGAGUACACUCUAAACCCUUUAACGAGGAUCAAUUGGAGGGCAAGUCUGGUGCCAGCAGCCGC